This 2412-nucleotide long non-coding RNA is filed under the name Malus domestica (apple). Its description in RNAcentral is "long non-coding RNA (MDOM_LNC005221)". Lineage: Eukaryota; Viridiplantae; Streptophyta; Magnoliopsida; Rosales; Rosaceae. The record is from RNAcentral.
AGAUAUGUACUUUAGACUUUUGAAGAUCCAAUUCAUCCUGCAUCUUCUCACACUCAUCUUCAUGCUGAAGCUGCAAACCUGUCAGCUCAGCUUCAAGUUCGCUCCUCAUUGAAGUUAUUUUCUAUGAAAAUGAUAAACUGGUUUGUAACGUAAGCAUAUAACACUCUAGUUAAAUUAGUAGUUCCAACUUAAUUCAAAGCUAAAAACGACAUUAAUGACCACAAUUUAAGAAUCCAGAAACAGCCCAAACUAACAACACACACAGAGGACAGACACUGAAAGACAUAUUUUUUUAGAGAACCUAACUAAAAAUUAAAAACAAACCAAGUAAAAUUUUCAGAGUUUAAAAACAGGAAACCAUUACAAUCUUUACAGAAACCAACUAAAAUUGGAAUCUGAAAAAAAAUCCGCUCAAUUUUAACAGCCCUGCUGCAUAUAUUGGGUUUUUUUAGGCAUGAGACAACACAAACGAAGAAAACAUAACAUAGUUGUAAACCUUAGGCUCCAAUCAGGUCAAGUGUGAGAUUUCAAACACGGAGAUUUACUCCAUGUUUAAAAACUGCCAAAUACAUUGCCAACUGUUAAGAGUAUGAACUACAAAUCUAUAAAGUAAAAAGACUUGCAGAUAAGUUUAAACAAUCAACAUUCAACUUAUGAUUGUUACUGUUUUUUAGCUGGAUGUUCACAUUCUAAUAAGGUAUUAAAAGAGAUUAUAAGCGUGUGUGCUCUUAAACCACCCAACACCAUGUAUUAAUCAAAUAAUUAACAUCUAAAGAUGGAGACAUGAAACACGAAACCUGCAAUUAGAUCCCAAUCACAAAAUGCCAAAAAAAUCCUAAUCUAACCAUCCCUAUACUAAUAGCCCAUUCGAGCAGCUAUUAGCACCUAACCCGCUACUUUGGCAACCCACCAACCCGCCACACCGUCAUGUCCCAUCCCCUCUCCACCACUCACUAUAUCUCUCACCUUUCUUUCUUGACAUUUCGCUCGGUGCACACAAACACCAAGCCAACCAUUGCCGGCCUUUGUCUAAAAGUGGACAAAAUCCCAUAGGUCCUGGCAGAGGACCUAGCUAAAUCUCUCUCCCACUCAGUCGAAACCCGUAGCUACCAUUUCUCUCCAAUCUGUCAGUCUCUCUGUCCCCCUCUUCUCCUCCCCCCAACAACCCUCUGACCGAUGCAUCACCCACAGCCACACCCACCCGCACCCGAGUCAAAAAUCCCAACGAUCCUCUCCCUCCAACCCGUCAACAAAUUAUGGAUUCCGAGAAUGUAUCUUGAAAACUCAGAUGCACAUGAUUAAAAUUAGUAGAUAUUAAGGACGUGUACUUAACAGAACAACACGAAGAACGAAUGAGUACAUUACAAACUAAAUGACCGUGUCAGCUAGAUACUUCUUAAAGAACACCUCUAAUCUACCAGUAUGAUUACUCAGUUUUUGGUUUUUAAAUUAAUACCCUAAACCUUACAUUCAAACUCAUUUCGAAUGCAAACAAAAGUAAAUGAUAAGUCCCGAGCUUUUCUUUCUAGCCUCAACUCAACUCAAGUUCCCAACCUUCACCUUCCAAUACAAAGAAACUAACGCAUCAAUCUGCAAUUUCGCAAACAUAUAAUUCAACUAACCAAGUUCUGUGUCCACUCAAAUGCACAUAUUUGAGCUCAAUCAAACUUAAAUUUGAAACAAAUAGUGAUGAAAGAUCAAACAUUUAUACCUAGCUUAGGAUCCGAACCAAUCUCCUCUUUCGCCUCCCUCGUCGCCGUGUCCCCAUCGUCCUUGUCCCCCUCCUCUGUUUUCCCACCCGGCAAAGAAACUUCACCUGCAGAAACACAAAACCAAAAAUUAAAAAACCAAUCUUUCCCAUUUCCAUUUUUAUCAAUUUCCUCAAUUUUUCCCAUUUCCAGAAAAAUGAGCAAGAAGCUUAAGCAGGAAAAAAAUCAUAAUUUCAACAACCAAAACCCAAUACCCGUUUAAUCAUACACGAACGAAAAAUCUAAACACAGAGUCACAGAUUAACGAACUGAAAACCCAAAAAAAAUAAAGGAAACUGACCUUACUUAAGAACAAUACAUAGAACACAGAGAAACGAAACAAAUAAAGGAACCCCCAAAACCAAAUAAAGGAACCCUCAAAACCUGACCUAACAGUGCAACAAAAUCUGGAAAUAAUUCACAGCAAAAAGGCAGAAAUGAUGACAAUCUAUGCUAACAGUAAAGAAUCGAAUUAAAAAUUGAACUUAGCUUUUGAAAUCCAGCCACUCAUCCGACAUGCAAAAGGGAACGGAUGAUCGAGAGUGAAUCAUGGACUGAGGGACCUUACUCGACCCAUCAUUGGAGCUACGUUUGUAGCUUUUGGGGAGAAAAAAAUUGAAUGUGAAAGCUGCUUUUGAUGUGGCCAUUAAGGUGGUGCUUCAGC